ACCCGAAGCAGGCUCUCGGGUCAGCACAGAGCCCGAUGCGGGGCUGAAACCCACGAGCUGGGAGAUCGCGACCUGAGCCGAAGCCAGACGCUUAACUGACUGAACCCCCCAGGCGCCCCUCGACACAGUCGCGUUUUAGAGGCUCAAAGCCAUCAGCGGGAUGGGCUGACCGUGGCAGAAAGAGUGAUGUUGAUAGUCCCCAGCUGCCUUGGUUUGGAGGACGCUGUCCGGUAAUCAGAUUCCAGCCACCGCGUGUGGAUUUGAACCUUGUGCCAGGCUGUUCCCACAUCACCGCACCCAGCCCCAGGACGGAGGUCUGUGACGGUCUCCAUUUUACAGGACAAGACGGGGAAUAAAUAGUGACAAAGAUUCUCUGCUUAGCGAAGCUCUACUCAGCCUUCCCUGAACUUGUCUUCAAGUGGGCAUCUCUGCAUUGUCCAAUUUUAGCAAGAAUCCGGUCAAGUGAGUUGAGCAGAAUCCCCAGCCCCCAUACCUGAUCACCUUCAAUGCCGGGCCACCCCACCCCACCCCCCCCCCCCCGCCCCCAUCCCCCAGGUAACGUCUGAUCACCUGACCCGCCUUCAGCACGAAUCCUGUUGGGUCAGGUUAGCCAGAAUCCUGCCUUGUUCCCGAUGUUUCCUAGUCUUCUAUCCACUGACCACCCCCCGACCCUGGGCUCAGCUGUACGUGCCCGCUCACCCUGCCAUGUUCGGGGUGGGGCUGCGCCAUCCCACGGUCUCUCUCCCCCUUGUUGCCACGGUCUUGAAUCAAAUCUGCUUUUAUCCCUCCAACUCAGCUCAGUGGUCAAAACGCAGAGACCCUCCCAAGAUGAGUACGGUCAGGAGCGUGGACUUGGGUGUAAGACAGACCAGCAUCCGAACGCCGCUUGGCCACUUACCAGCUCUGUGAGCUGGGGCGAGAGACCAAGCCUUGAUUUUUAGUCAUCUAUAAAAUGGGGACAAUGACAAUAAUGCAGCCCAGGGUUUCUGUAAUGAUUAAAUGAGACAAUGCUGUAAAGGGCCUUUCUGGAAAGGUCUGGAAAACAGCCUGUGCACAAUAAAUAUUGGUGGGAUGGGUGUGCAAAUAGGCUUAGGGGAGAAUGGCCCCAGCUAAGGUGGAAACCAGAGAUAGAGGGGAGUUUGCAUCAGAUCAACCAACAGGGCAAGCGUGUUCAAAUCCCAGACAGUCCCCACCACACACACACACACACACACACACACACACACACACACACACACACACAGUGAGCCAGCAGCCAGCUACUCCUCAAUGGCCUCCUGCCCAUUUGACCGCAUCAAAUGAAGGUGCGCUGUGUGUGCUGACCAAUGACAGGCUGCCGCGUUGGGUAAGAGGCCCCUCGGGCCCCUCUGAAUAGGCGUCAGAAGCCAGCUGACCCCCUGGAAACUACAUCACCUAAUUCAGCAUUCCCUGGCCCCUUCCAAACAGACACACCGAACACAGGCGACUCUGACCUGGUCUCAGCUGAAACCACUCUUCUGGGAACCACGGAGAGGCCCCACCGUCCCUCCCAAGCCUGACCAAGGGCCAGGACAAAGGGGGCGGGGGGUCCAGGCCAUCCGUCAUAGAAGGUUCCGCUUCUCCUCGUUAAUUCAAGAGCAUCCACGGCUCCUGCUGAGCAGCUGAAGAGCUCUCUGGAACCUCUUUUCAACUGAAAACAGUAAUUUGCAAGAGCUCACAAUGCAAGCAGCAGACGGGAUGCACAGUUGAACCACAGCCACAGCGGCCUUUCUCAUAGCCCGCAGCCUGUGGCGGGGCUCUGAGGCUGGGCAGCUGCCACGGGCCACCGGGAGGGUCCGCGGACAGGAGGAGGGCACAUGCUGACAGCUCCCUGGAACCAGCUGGGGUUUUUAAUGCAAAGGGGCGGCAAGCCUAUCACGUCUGGAAUAUUUUCCAAAUAAGAAAUAACCAAACUAGGGGGCUUAAUACAACAGAAACGUAUCUUCUCAUAGACCUGGGGGCCAGAAGUCCACAAUCAAGCUGUCGGAAGGGCUGGUUCCUUCCGGAGGUUCUGAGGGAGCAUCCGUUCCGUGCCUGUCUCCUAACUUCCGACCUCAGACUCUGGUGGGUGUCUUACACUGAUGCGCAUCUCAGAUCACGCCAUCCACACCUUGAUGGCUUGGUGGACGCACGGCGCCGGCGAUCCCGCAGAGGAAGGUGUCGCUCGGCAGAUCUAGCUGUUUGUGGAUUUGCAGAGCCGGGCAAAACGCUCUAGACGCAUCCCACUCCAAGUUAAGACGCGUCACGGCUGCCGCUCCACUGGCCUCCUUAGGUGGGAGGCGAGGGAACCGGCGAACUGUGUCUCUGGGAUCCCAGCUCUCCAGGUACCAGGUGACUCACCCCAUGCGCCCCCAACCUCCAGCUCUCCUGCGUUCCCCACCCCAACCCUGUGGUCGGUCCCGGGCCGCUCAGCUGAGGGCCCGCCGGGGGGCUGACUGAGCCCAGCCCGCUCUGGGGCCAAUCUGGGCUCACGUGAUCUUAGCCCGGGGACCCCAGGGAUCCGACCGAAGGAGCUUCUGGCGGCCAGCGCGACUGGCACGGCGGCCCGUGCCCAGCUUUGAACCCAGCUCAGCAGCUCCUACCUGGCAGAGUUGCCCCCGCCCUGUCCCGGAAGACUGGGCUCCUCAUAAACCUCCUCCUUCACAGGCUUGACGGGAGGGCCCGAUCAACAGCCGUAAGGAUCGCCUUCAUCUCUCGAACAUUUACGUCAAACGCUGAGCGUGUGCCAGAGAUGUGCUAUUUUUAUUCCAUUUUACAGAUGGGGAAACCGAGACUCUGGGAGAUGAGAUCACUUGCCCAGCAUUGCACGGCCAGCAGAUGAUGGAUUCUGUGACAACAGACCCUUGUUCACAGGGAAGUGGUGGGGAUGAAAGAAGUUAGUAAAUUAAAUGAAAUCAUUCA
This is a long non-coding RNA of Prionailurus viverrinus (fishing cat), 2919 nucleotides long. RefSeq lists it as uncharacterized. The transcript is spliced from 3 exons. The record is from RefSeq and is a predicted model, not a curated record. Lineage: Eukaryota; Metazoa; Chordata; Mammalia; Carnivora; Felidae.